GAGAUAACUCCUACGGGAGGCAGCAGUGGGGAAUUUUGGACAAUGGGGGCAACCCUGAUCCAGCAAUGCCGCGUGAGUGAAGUAGGCCUUCGGGUUGUAAAGCUCUUUUGUCAGGGAAGAAACGGUAGUAGCUAAUAUCUAUUACUAAUGACGGUACCUGAAGAAUAAGCACCGGCUAACUACGUGCCAGCAGCCGCGGUAAUACGUAGGGUGCAAGCGUUAAUCGGAAUUACUGGGCGUAAAGCGUGCGCAGGCGGUUGUGUAAGUCAGAUGUGUAAUCCCCGGGCCCAACCUGGAAAUUGCAUUUGAGACUGCACGGCUAGAGUGUGUCAGAGGGGGGUAGAAUUCCACGUGUAGCAGUCAAAUGCGUAGAUAUGUGGAGGAAUACCGAUGGCGAAGGCAGCCCCCUGGGAUAACACCGACGCUCAUGCACGAAAGCGUGGGGAGCAAACAGGAUUAGAAACCCUUGUAGUCCUCCACU
RNAcentral lists this ribosomal RNA (481 nucleotides) under uncultured bacterium. Its description in RNAcentral is "bacterial SSU rRNA". It matches the Rfam family "Bacterial small subunit ribosomal RNA", at positions 329 to 803 of the family's 1533-position model. The record is from RNAcentral.